GGGCUCACACAAGCGGUGGAGCAUGUGGCUUAAUUCGAAGCAACGCGAAGAACCUUAUCCAGGGUUUGACAUGUAUGGAUUAACUCCGUGAAAGCGGAGCCACACCUUCGGGUGGAACAUACACAGGUGCUGCAUGGCUGUCGUCAGCUCGUGCUGUGAAGUGUCGGGUUAAGUCCCUCAACGAGCGCAACCCUUGUCGUUAGUUGCUAACAGGUAAUGCUGAGGACUCUAACGAGACUGCCGGUGUCAAACCGGAGGAAGGUGGGGAUGACGUCAAGUCCUCAUGGCCUUUAUGCCCUGGGCUGCACACGUGCUACAAUGGUAGGUACAGAACGAAGCAAAACCGCGAGGUGGAGCAAAUCGCCAAAGCCUGCCCCAGUUCGGAUUGGAGGCUGCAACUCGCCUCCAUGAAGUCGGAAUCGCUAGUAAUCG
This 432-nucleotide ribosomal RNA is filed under the name uncultured bacterium. Its description in RNAcentral is "bacterial SSU rRNA". It matches the Rfam family "Bacterial small subunit ribosomal RNA", at positions 917 to 1344 of the family's 1533-position model. The record is from RNAcentral.